This 492-nucleotide ribosomal RNA is filed under the name uncultured bacterium. RNAcentral's name for it is "partial 16S ribosomal RNA". It matches the Rfam family "Bacterial small subunit ribosomal RNA", at positions 29 to 507 of the family's 1533-position model. The record is from RNAcentral.
AGUGAACGCUGGCGGUAGGCCUAACACAUGCAAGUCGAACGGCAGCACAGUAAGAGCUUGCUCUUACGGGUGGCGAGUGGCGGACGGGUGAGGAAUACAUCGGAAUCUACUUUUUCGUGGGGGAUAACGUAGGGAAACUUACGCUAAUACCGCAUACGACCUACGGGUGAAGGCAGGGGAUCUUCGGACCUUGCGCGAUUGAAUGAGCCGAUGUCGGAUUAGCUAGUUGGCGGGGUAAAGGCCCACCAAGGCGACGAUCCGUAGCUGGUCUGAGAGGAUGAUCAGCCACACUGGAACUGAGACACGGUCCAGACUCCUACGGGAGGCAGCAGUGGGGAAUAUUGGACAAUGGGCGCAAGCCUGAUCCAGCCAUACCGCGUGGGUGAAGAAGGCCUUCAGGUUGUAAAGCCCUUUUGUUGGGAAAGAAAAGCAGCAGGUUAAUACCCCGCUGUUCUGACGGUACCCAAAGAAUAAGCACCGGCUAACUUCGUG